CCCUUAGAUGUUCUGAACCGCACGCGUGUUACACUGAUGCAUUCAACGAGCUUUACCUUGGCCGAGAGGCCUGGGAAAUCUUUUUAGCAUGCAUCGUGAUAGGGAUUGAUUAUUGCAAUUAUUAAUCAUGAACGAGGAAUUCCUAGUAAACGCAUUUCAUCAAAAUGCAUUGAUUACGUCCCUGCCCUUUGUACACACCGCCCGUCGCACCUACCGAUUGAGUGGUCCGGUGAAGUCUCGAGAUUGUGGCAAUCUCCUUUAUUGGAGUUUGACUGCGAGAACCUGCCUAAACCUUAUCACUUAGAGGAAGGUGAAGUCGUAACA
RNAcentral lists this ribosomal RNA (324 nucleotides) under uncultured eukaryote. Its description in RNAcentral is "partial 18S ribosomal RNA". It matches the Rfam family "Eukaryotic small subunit ribosomal RNA", at positions 1470 to 1796 of the family's 1831-position model. The record is from RNAcentral.